Molecule: non-coding RNA, 113 nt
Organism: Acanthosepion pharaonis
Lineage: Eukaryota; Metazoa; Mollusca; Cephalopoda; Sepiida; Sepiidae
Source: the annotation of a GenBank genome assembly
UAUGGUCACAUCACGGUGGAAACAUUCGUUCUCAUUUGAUCGCCGAAGUUAAGCAGUAUCGAGCCCAGUCAGUACUUAGAGGGGGACUGUAUGCGAACACUGGGUAUUGUAAG